CAUUCUUCAUUCUGUCUUUGAUGGAAAACCUUUUUAGGUGCUCUCCUGCCUCCGGGAUGGCCUGUCUACAGGACCUUGCAUACAAUGGGCACUCAAUCAAAUGCUAUUAAAAUAGCAUCGAACUGUGUGAGAAUGCAGCCAGCCUCCAUCGAUUAACAUAGCGGAAGGAGGACGAUUUUCCCAAAUACCGAAAGAGUUACGGAAAAUGAAAGCAUCUACCUCCUUGUUAAUUAAAGAUAAGAAAUUGAAUAUUUCUUAAAACGGGACUGUGAGAUUGCCCACAUUUAUCUUCCAAAUGUGCCUUCUCCACCUCAAAGCCCUGUAGGCCAUCUGGAAUUCUCUCCUGUGCCUUUAAAUCUAGCACAGGGCCCGCAGCUCAGCCGGGGGCCUCGGUUCCUUGUCCUGUGACAUCAGCCCAGCCGUGUCUUAGGAGACAAUUAACCUAAGGAAAAGUUUCUGUGUGGGGAACACGUACCUCCGCCCACUGGAUUAACCGCGUGGAGCUGAACUUGCCAGGACGAGAAGCAUUGGGUUUCAAACGCGGUAACAAAGACAGAAACCAAUUCGCACGUCAGCGAAGACAAAGCCAGAUGCUUUCGCAAAUCAAACCCUGCAGACAGGAGUAAGUUUUCUCUUGGGGAUGCAUUUUAUGCGCUGUUAUAUUACCUUCUACAUCACGACUGACGUCUCGGGGUUCCAUAGAUCAGGUAACCCAGGACUCGCUCUGCCAGGGUAGGACGAAGGCGGCCCGUCAAAUGCAAUUCCAACAUUUAGUGAACUUAGCUCCGGCUCCAACUGGAGUCUGAAGUCCCAGAGGCAAGAAUUGUCUGCACUUUGUACCUACAGCGGUCGCUACAGGGCCAGGUAGAUCGCAGGUGCGGAAAGAAAUAGUUGUGACAUCGUCGAUGAUGCAUAGACGAACAAACGGAGGAGGCUGGCCGAGCAAUUCGCUACCAGAGCUUCUGUCCGCGAGAAACGCAAGCUAGUGCCGAGGUCGCACCCUGAGGUGUCUACAGGGCCCGGAAGGAUCCUGACCGACCCUGGUGCCGCCCUGUAUGGCCCCGUGUGACGUGAUUGCCCCUUCUCUUGGAAUUUUCUACUGAAAGCCAUGGCUUGUUAAGAAAAGUCAUCCAAGUAUGAAGCAGAGAAGGGAGAACAGCUUUCAGACAGGGAUGGACUAACCGCGACCCCAGGGCCAAUUCUGGCCCUCCAUCUGUUUUUAUCAAUAAAGCUUUAUUGGAACAGAGCCAUGCUCGUUCGCUUCUGUACUGUCUCGGGCUACAGCGCAGAGCUGAACACCUACAACUGUCUGGCCCACCAAGUCUAAAAUAUUUAUUCUCCGGCAGUUUCCAGAACACCUUGGCUGAUCUCUGCUGCAGACUUAUGCCCCUCAGUCUGGAACAUUAGCGGGGGGCAGAGGGGAAGAGUCAAGCAGACGUGGCUCCGACUCCCAUUGACUCUGUCGCCCCCCUGGGGGUUUCCCUGACCCUCCCCAAACCUCCAUUUCAUUUACAAAAUGGGAACAAUACCGUCAACCUCACAGAACCCCGAUGAGAAUUACCUGAAGUAAGUGCUUAAAAAGGACACAGCAUAGUUCUGGAUGGAGAAGAUAAAAUAAUCAUAGUAAAAUAAAUGGCUUCGUAAUAACGACAAGGGUCACCGUCAUCAUUACCAGCUGUCACCUCCUGUGCCAAAGGGAACCUCAAAUAGAAUGUUUUCCAGGAUGACUCUCCAGGGAAGCCCGUCAGAUGGGAGAAAAUGCUGCUAGAGGGUUCUGUAGGAAAAACUUCUCCCCAGGUCCCAUGCCCUCUUUCCCCACCUCUGCUGGGGAAUCCUUAUCUUACCUUAUACGUGCUAGCAGCAGUAUCUGCCAUUACGAAGCACACCCAAUACUUGGGUGUAGACGUGCAGUGUUUGCCUGAAGUCAAGUUUACGGGCAGCGUCCGUUUGGGCGUUAUCCAGUUAGGGCCUCAGCAAGAAGUAGGCGUGCACAUUGUGUUACCGUGGGUUCUCCAGAGAAACAGAGCCGAUAGGAGAUGAACGUCUAUAUAUAUCAAUCUACAUACAUACAUACAUAUGUACCUACCUACCUACCUAUCUAUCUGUCUAUCUACCUUUCUCUCUCCUACCUACCUAUCCUAUCCAUCUAUGUAUCUAUCAUCUAUCUCUCUCAGAAGUUGGUUCACACAGUUGUGGAGGACUUGAGAAGUCCUCAGAUCUGUAAGCUGUAGACCCAAAGUUUCUGAUGAUUGGAAAAAUUCCUUAUUUUGGGGAUAUUAAAAUAAUGUUGUAGAGGCGUAGCUAUGGACAUUCUUUAUAAUACAAUACAAUACAAUAUAAUAUAAUAUAAUAUAAUAUAAUUAGGCUGCUUGUGGCCAAUGGAACCAUUGAAGGCGAUAACACAGAGCGGUGCAAGGGGCAAAUGUUGGCUCUACUCCAAUGGCUCUGGUGGUGGGGGCCACUCGGGGUGCUCUAUGGGAAGAGUCCUGCGGAACCUUCUGGGAACCUCAGCGGCAUGGAGCGUGGGCAGGCCGCGGUUCUCCACAGCUGCCGACACAGACAGUGACCCUUUCUCCAACGUGAUAAGUUCUUCUUUCCUUCCAGCUCGAAGACCUACUUUUUCCAGGUGGAUUCUAUGUUCUAGUGGUUGUUUCUUUCUCCGCGAUCUGAUGCUAUCUUACGCAAACCAGGUAUUCCACAAAACAUUUGCUAAACGAAUCCAUGAUCGUGAAUCCCUGUAUGUAUCUAUCAUCACCUGAAAUUUUUUGUUAAAAGCCAAAGAUACGUAUUUAUUUUCUACCUCAGUGGUACAAUGAAAGGAUAUCAAAUAUUUUAAAAACGCUUUCGAGUGUUUCGGAGGAAACACAUGUACCAUUUACAUGGAGUUGUUAUUACUUCCGUUCCUGGGGGUGGGGCUAUUCUGGCAAGCCUCAGGUCCCCAGCAUCAGUUUCCUGUUUGCACACUGGUAUUUUCUAGAAUCUUCCCUGUAUUUCCCCCUCUUCUUCUGCCAUAUUUCAUGAGCUCUCCUUCAUAUCCACCUCAUGAGUUGCCUUUGAUCAGAGACUGAGGACUCCCCUGACGUAUUUAAUUUCAAGUUGCGGCUGUCCGUUCUGGGAGGUGCGGUAGAAACUUUGCGGUGUAGACAUCACGCUGUAUUCUCUUUCCUCAGGGGAAGCUCUUGAAUCUACCAAAUUUCAACUCUCGUCAAGGCUGGUUCAUAGCCGUAAGAAUGGAUUGGAGACUCGCAGACAGCAGAGACCACAGCCUCUCUAUUAGUGAGCGUGGGGUAAAAUGUGUAAUCCAUUAUCAAUAAAUAUCUGUUGCUUGGUGCUGUGGACUGAGUAGCAGCCCCCCACCCCCAAUUCAUAUGGUGAAGUCCUAACCCCGCCCUGUGACUGUGUGUGGGGAUAGGGCUUUCCUCGAGAGGUGAUUAAGGUUCAGUGAUGUCACAGGGUGGGGGCCUGACUUGGUGGGAUUAGUGUCCUCAUAAGAAGAGGGAGAAGUUCCCGGGAUCUCUCUGUCUUUGCACAGAGAAGAUGCACCAGAAGGCAGCUGUCCACAAGCCAACAAGAGACAUCUCACCAGACACCAGCCAUGCUGGGACCCUCAUCUCCGGUUUCUGGUCUCCGGAUCUGUGAGAAAAUAAAUGUCUGCUGUGGAAGACACAGUGACAUCAUCAGUGACAUCUUGUUGUGGCAGUCCAAGCAGAAGUCAUAGAAUUGCUUCAUCGGUGCGUUGCCAAAUAAGUAUUUUAGGCUAAUUGUGACGAAAAUUAUUCUAAAUGCAAUGGGAGGUUGAGUUGGUCUUUCAGAAGAAAGCUAUAACAUCCCAAAGGCUUCAACAGUGGACAGAUUUGGCCAAACUUCACAUACAGUGAAAGGUAAAAUGAAAUUAUUUAGAGAUUUGGAAAAUUUGGAGGAAAAGGUCAUCUAAGAGAUAGCUUAGACAAGGAAUGUAGAAAAAGAGUGAAUACUAACUAAAAGGCAAAUGAUUUAUAUACAUGUGAAGAUACGUUCAGCCUCACUAAUAAAGGUACACAAAUAACACAAGAUAAUAUGGAGGGAUAUUUUUAAAUAGACUUUAUAAUUUUAUGAUAAUUUUAUGGAAAAAUUGAAAGGAUAAUGCAUAGUUCUCAUAUAUCCUAUCUCCAGUUUCCUCUGUUAUUAAUAUAUUACAACGGUGUAGCACAUUUGUUGCAAUUAAUGGACCAGUGGUGAUAAAUCAUUAUCAACUAACGUCCAUUGUUUAUUCAGAAUAUAUAUAUUUUAAUGUGGAUGAUUCACAAACUUUAAAAAGUUGAUAAUCUCCAAUAUCAGUGGAAUACAGUCUGUCACACAUGGUUGAUGAUUGUUAAUUGAUAUAAAUUCCUUGGAGAGCAAUUCGACAAGAUCUGUUAAAAAUUAAAUGUGCCUGGGGCGCCUGGGUGGCUCAGUCCGUCGAGCAUCUGACUUCAGCUCAGGUCAUGAUC
This is a long non-coding RNA of Leopardus geoffroyi (Geoffroy's cat), 4469 nucleotides long. RefSeq lists it as uncharacterized. The record is from RefSeq and is a predicted model, not a curated record. NCBI's taxonomy places the organism in Eukaryota, Metazoa, Chordata, Mammalia, Carnivora, Felidae. The transcript is spliced from 5 exons.